UCCCGGAGCUCCGCCCCCCCCCCAUGGCGGCCCCCCCCGCCGGGGAUUGGUUCCACUGCAAUCGCUGCUACCGCCAGGAAGGCGCCCGCUUCUCCGUCACCAGCUGCGGGCACGUCCUGUGCGAGGCCUGCCUGGGUGCAGGGCCGUGCCCCAUCUGUGCUGCUGCGUGCCGCCGCUUCCCCAUCCCCGAGCAGCUGGAGGAGACACUCUUCCUAAAGAGCCCCGCCGCCAUUGCCCGGCAGCGCUUGGCACACAUCUCCCAGGCCUGGCGCUUCCAGCAGGCACAGGUGGACCUGCUGCUUGCCUCCCACCGUGACACAGCGCGCCGGGCUGAGGCGGCUCUGCGUGACACCCGACGGGCAUUGGACUCCAAGCAGAGGGAAGCAGAGGCGCUGCGGAGGGAGAACGGAGAGCUGCGGAGGCACCUGCGGGAGGCUGAGGUCUCCCCUACCUGGCGGUCGAGCAGGAGCAGCACUCCUCGGCCCAUUGGCAUUACUUCCCCAGCAACGACAGUCACCCCACAGCCUCGGCAGCAGCUCAGUGGGCAGGUGGUGAGCCGCUUGGCCUCACUGGAGUUCCCCUCGGCCAGCAGCACCCCGACGUGGCUGGCCCCAUCUCCAGGCUUCACCCCCAGUCUGGCCCACAGCCCCCCCGUGGCUGAGCCCACCAUGUCAUGGCCUCGACCAAGCUCGUACUGCCUCACUGCCUUGUGCAGCUCAAGGAAGUGCCCUCUGGAGUGCUGGUGGAACCCCUGCAUUGUCCAGCAAUGUGGGAUCAUCGCUGCCAUUUUGGAGUUUUAUGGGAUAUUUUGGGGCUGCCAGAGGGAUUCGCUGCUCCCCCAUGGUGCACCGCACCCCUCCAGGCCUGGCUUCCACCUCCUGCUUAAUAUCACCGUGCAGGUCAAGGAAACACAAUGUGAUGCCUCCUUGGGCUGCCAUGGUGCUGUGCAAUGUGGGGCAGCUGGCUGCACAUCUCAUCCAACAGUGUGGCUGAGCUGCAGGAGCUCUGUGGAUCACAGCAAGUCCAGCCUGAGGCUCUUCGGGGAUGGAGGGGUGAGGAGCUGCUCCAGAGAUUAUUCUUGGUCGUGGAGGGGCUACUGCAGUCUGAAUUGGGGGCGUUUUGGAAGGAGUCCCCUUAGUUAAGAUGGUUUUGGGGUGAAGGGACUUUUUUCUUAAGAUUGAAGUCUACGUGGUUGCAGAGUGAGGUUAAGAUAGAGACAACAGCAGUUGUGGGGUGAGUUAUGGGGGCUACCACAGUUGGGGAGGGUGGUGAUAAAAGCUGGAGGCCACCACACCUGAGGGCUGCAAGCUAUAGGUCCUUAGUGAGCAGGGCCAUGGUGCUGCUUUCUUGGGGUGCAAAAGCACCUCUAUGGCCAGGAAGGUGGCAGCUGCCCUUGAACUGAGGGCUGUAGCUGUGGAUUGGGACACCUCUCUCCCUGCCAAGUGUAUAAAGUUUCCUGAUUCGUUACAGCUGAUGUCUGUCUUUGUUGGAGGUGGGACGUGUGGUUGGGUGCAGCUCCUGAUAGUGGAGGGUGGGAUGUGAGUGCACAGCUAUGGAUGGCUCUGCCCCAGCAUGUGUGCUGUUGGAGCUGGGGGAGGUGAGAAUGGCGCUGAGUGGCCAGGUGCUCCAAUAGCUCCGGGACGUGUCGAGCUCACUGCGGGGCUCUGAAUGACCUUCAGGUCAGAGGGCACUCGGUUCCACCAGUGUUGUAGUCUACAGGGAGCCCUUGGAAGCCUCUCAGGAAGGCUCAGUGGGGCCUGGAGCAGAGGAGCAGAUUGCUUUGGUGGUGUCUGAGUGGCUGGAAGGCAACUGCCCCAGGAAGCUCAACGAGGAUGCUCUGGGUGGUGCUGGGAGGCUCUAAGGGACACGGGGAGCUCUGCGGUGUAUUUGGUUGCCUACAGAAAGCUUUAAUCGCUACAAACUCCCAAAUCCUCACUCAGCAGCCGAGCAAAUCCAAAAACAGCUGCAACCCUUCUGUAAAGCAGCAGCUGCCCCGCAGAUCCUCCCUGAGAAAACGCCCCGAGGACAGAAUCAACACAAUACUGGUUGGCACAUGCACUCAGCUCUAAGAGAACGAAUGCCAGCGAGCAGCGGCCGCUCCACGCAUCCCUUAAAAACGCAGCGCUAUCUGCCCGCAGCUCCCGCACCGAGCCCCGCAGCUCAGACGAGCAGCGUCCACCGCCUUCCCGCUCCCGGAGCUCCAUCUGUUCCGGCGCGCUCUCGUCUCCGUCCCGGACUCGCGUGCCCAAGCGAACCCCAGAAACGACCCGGUUCUGCCCCUGCGCGCCCAGCACCGCUGAGCCGACCUGCAUGGAACACCGCAGCGCCGCGCCUUCCUCCGGCUUUAUGGUGACUAGUCCAAUCGCUACUGCGCAUGCUCCAGUCGUCAGUCCUCCAAGCUCUAUGGUCACCCGUCCGCUAGGCAGCAACGCGAGCGCGAGAGAAACGCAGAAAUGACGUUUCUUUAUCGUUGCAGCCAGUCUCUAUGGUAAAAGGUUCUUCCUGGAGUACAACGCAUGCGCGCACAAACGCGGAAGUAGCCGCAUUCCGGUCCGUGCAGCGUCGCAGUGAAACGGGCAGGGAAUGCACUGCCCUGCAGUGAGGGACUCACUGUCCGGUGCUGCGCGGCGAGGGAGAGCGGAAAAGGCAUGAGAACAGUCAUCACGCGUAUGUCUGUAACCGUACUGUGGGGCACGGCUACGAGCACGCGCUGCUGUUCCUCACUCUGCUCCGCAGCGCAGUUUUGCAUUCCCGCGUUUCUCUCACCCGGAGUGUGGUGCCGGGUCACGUGGUGCCGGGAGCUAAUGGAGGCGGGAGCGUCUCGUGCCGAGUGGCAACGGGCGCGGAAUGGAAGGAGAGCAGAACGGGGCGAUGGAGGGCGGAGCGCGGUCAGGUUGUGCUGCGCUGCAGUUACGGCCCAGGGCGUUGAUUUGAAGAAGUAAUUGGCAUUCUUCUACCAAGUGUGUGUCAGUGAAGGAAGUUCACCUUUAGGAUGAGUGAAGAAGAGUCCUGGAUGAAGUCAAAGGCUGUCAAUGGGGCUGUCGUGGUGCUGAAAGGACACUGAGCAGUAGAAGAGAUCAUGGAAUAGAAGACUGGAAACCUCAUAAAUCACUGCCUAAGAUAGGCAUGUAUAUCUUAAUUAUCUCACAGAUUUUAUUUUGAAAGGAACAGUCAGAUGCUUUUCGGAGUCCUGAAUUACUUUACAUCUUGAGGUGGAAGUUGAAGACUCAGAUCCAAUAUCCCAGAGCCACAGCUGAUGCUGAACCCAGGAGUCCAGGCUGUGCUCAGGAAUUACUCCAAGAUGAGAAGCUGCCAUUGGUCUUCAAGCAGUCCCAGUGCCACGGCUAUAAGCAGAGGAAGGCAUAUCAAAUCUAUCUGUGUUACCUAUGAGCACACAAGGACCAUGGAGUGAAGAUUCAAUCAGUAACCAGGCUGUAUCAAACCAGAAGGUGUUACAGAGAUCACUUGCAGUGCUUCAGAGGCCACGUAAGAGGCUGUUCAAUAAAUUCAGUAUCUGACUUCUUACUCCUCCCUAAACGAGCUGAAGUGGCUGUUUUUGCUGCUGUUCUUCAAUCCUGGAGAAAUGACAUUGUAAACAUUCAAGCCUUUAUCAGAGCAAACGAAGCAUGAGAAGACAAAACCCUCAGUGAGUACUGCUGAAAGAAUAACACCAGUGUGCGUUGAGUCUGUGUUUGCAAUAAAUACUUCUAGCGUGAUGUAUAACAUCGGGGCAGUUAUGGAGGUCAGUUGGGAUGAUGUUGGUAAAGUGGUGCCAAGAGCAGACAGCUGCUGAGUCUGAAGGGAAACUCGAUUCCUGAUAGUAUUUCUGCUGCUGAGAAACAGAACCACAGAGUGAGGCAGCAAAAUAGGAAAAACUUGAAGCUUGAAGCCCAGUUUAGAAAGAAAGGCGUUCUCAAGCAUCUUCAGGAUGCUGCCAGCUCUGAUAGUAAUCCCUGCUCACAGCAAUUUGUCCUGGGUUCUCAGCAAACUCAGGAAUUCAGGGACAGGAUGGAGAACUCACUGCUCUAACAAAUGAGAUUUCCCUUCAUCAGCCCCAGACGUACCUCGCUUCUGACUUUUCCACAUGCAGGAAAGUGACCUCUCAGCUGCAAGUGUUUCCAGUGUUGUUUGUUUUGGAAUAUAUAACCGUGGGAUCUGUCCCUCUGUCCCUCUCUGUUCUUUGCAGGAUGUCGUUUCUCACAGCAAAAAGCUUUCUAAGGAGAGCAAGAAGCAAAAGGGAGGUUUGAAAGCUUUGAGCGAAUAGAGGAAAAAAAGCUGUCUGUCUGUUGGCAUCUGUUCUGCUUCCUUCGGGUAUGCAGGGAUUAACUUUGUUCUUUAGGAAUUAAGCCAUUUUUCUUUAGCCCCGUACUUUGUCACUCAGGGAGGCACUAGUUUUGAUCUGAUGCAAUGCCUUCCUAGAAUUCAGUCCAGUCUCAAUUCUUUGCUUACAAGGAGUACCAGCAGACUGUGAGCUUGGGCUUUACAGGCCAGCGGUGGAGCUGGCACAGAGGGCUCUGAAUGUUCAAAAAGGAAUGAGAAGGCUGAGAAUCAGGUGCUUUGUUUGACAUUUUUACCAGCUGUCCUCCUUAAGGAUACUGCCUGUCCAUAGGCACGUCUGGUUGCUUUGGCUGGAGCUGAGCUUGGUGCUUAUGGCUUCAGUCCUUUUUGAUACAUAGCUGCACUAUAUCAUAUACUUGCUGCCUAGAUCAAACAUACGUAUUGUUGGAGGAGAUUACUCUACGCAUUUUAUUUUUUUCAAAGUGUGAGGAUGGUGUAUGCCUUCAAACAGGUCACGUCUACACAAAAUUUCCUUUUUUCUUCUUUUUUUCCUUGGAGCAGUGGUUCAGAGAAAUGUGGAUGCUUUCUUCUCUGCUGCUAUGCUUCCCAUAGGGGUAUUCUAGGAAUGGCUUCUGUCAUUGAUUGCUUUCUUGCUUAUUUUAAAUACUGAAGGGAACAUACUGUUCUUUUUCUUUUACCUGCAUAAAACUCCCUUUGUUUCCAUUGUAGUUUUGAGUUGUGCUCUUGAAUGGAAUGUACAGCUGGAUCUAGAACAGUUGCCAGAGAGGAGUCUGCAGGCAAACGGUGAUGGAUUUCCCAGAUGGAGGUCAUAAAGUUCCUUGCCUCCUGGUGAAGUGUUCUCAUAUUAUUCUUAGAUAGGGUUGUAUGUGAUUGCUGUGCUGUGACUUUUAUGACAAAUCCAUUAUCUGUUUCCCAAAGGUGAUGCUGAGAAGCAUGCCUCGUGAUGACUUAUGCAUACCUCACGCUUCAUAUUAAUUCUUCCCUUGGGUUAAAAAUAGACCAAAUCCUUGAAGCUGUGCCUGGGAAUCUUACUGUUAUUAGAAUGAUUCAGCCAUGGUGGCUGUGGUCAGAACGCCCUGCAGCAGAUCUUGGCAUUGGUUGUGAAUGGAAGAACUCAGAGCAAAUUGCUCAAUAUCAAAACCAAUUCAGUGGAUAUUGACAAGUCUUGAGCGACCCGGAUGGGAUAUCAGCAUGGCGAGGCCAGGUACAGAAGCUGUUCCUGCUAUGGUUCUUCUAAGAGUUGCUUGACUGUCUUGUGUUGCUGUGUUAAUCGUUCCAAGCCAUCUUUGGCUUCGCUGCACACAUCUGUCUGAUUGAUACCAGUUUUUUCCAUCACCUCAGACACUGGCUGAAAAAAAAAAAAAAAAAAAAAAA
Molecule: non-coding RNA, 5673 nt
Organism: Phasianus colchicus (ring-necked pheasant)
Lineage: Eukaryota; Metazoa; Chordata; Aves; Galliformes; Phasianidae
Source: RefSeq, a predicted model, not a curated record